UACAGAGGUCUCAACCGUUGUUCGGAUUCAUUGGGCGUAAAGGGUGCGUAGGCGGUCGGGUAAGUCGGAUGUGAAAUCUCGGGGCUCAACCCUGAAACUGCAUUCGAUACUGCCUGGCUAGGGUACUGGAGAGGAGACUGGAAUUUACGGUGUAGCAGUGAAAUGCGUAGAUAUCGUAAGGAAGACCAGUGGCGAAGGCGGGUCUCUGGACAGUUCCUGACGCUGAGGCACGAAGGCCAGGGGAGCAAACGGG
This 253-nucleotide ribosomal RNA is filed under the name uncultured bacterium. RNAcentral describes it as "partial 16S ribosomal RNA". It matches the Rfam family "Bacterial small subunit ribosomal RNA", at positions 524 to 776 of the family's 1533-position model. The record is from RNAcentral.